Alosa sapidissima (American shad) is the source of this 185-nucleotide long non-coding RNA. RefSeq lists it as uncharacterized. The record is from RefSeq and is a predicted model, not a curated record. Lineage: Eukaryota; Metazoa; Chordata; Actinopteri; Clupeiformes; Clupeidae. The transcript has 3 exons.
CGGAGCAGGUUUGAGAUGCAGCGUAAAUUGCCAUGGCAGCAUACCUCGGUUAAAACCUAUCCACCUUUCAUAGUACGGGUUAAUCGGGAAGUUAGGCCACACGUGAUCAAGUUACUCUCGAACUUACAGAUAAGCCAGAAACCCUGCUUCGUAGUACAGGCCCCUGCUUGAAGCAUCUUGUGUCU